This 256-nucleotide ribosomal RNA is filed under the name uncultured bacterium. Its description in RNAcentral is "partial 16S ribosomal RNA". It matches the Rfam family "Bacterial small subunit ribosomal RNA", at positions 524 to 777 of the family's 1533-position model. The record is from RNAcentral.
UACGUAGGGGGCAAGCGUUGUCCGGAUUUAUUGGGCGUAAAGAGCGUGUAGGCGGCCAAACAGGUCAGCUGUGAAAACUCGAGGCUCAACCUCGAGACGUCGGUUGAAACCGUUUGGCUAGAGUCCGGAAGAGGAGAGUGGAAUUCCCGGUGUAGCGGUGAAAUGCGCAGAUAUCGGGAAAGAACACCCGUGGCGAAGGCGGCUCUCUGGACCAGCACUGACACUGAGGCACGAAAGCGUGGGGGAGCAAACAGGG